This 918-nucleotide ribosomal RNA is filed under the name uncultured bacterium. RNAcentral describes it as "bacterial SSU rRNA". It matches the Rfam family "Bacterial small subunit ribosomal RNA", at positions 8 to 916 of the family's 1533-position model. The record is from RNAcentral.
AGAGUUUGAUCCUGGCUCAGGAUGAACGCUGGCGGCGUGCCUAACACAUGCAAGUCGAACGGGUGUGGUAUCAGGGAAAGGGGGUUUACUUCUUUGACCAGAUAACACACUAGUGGCGGACGGGUGAGUAACGCGUGGAUAACCUGCCUUAUACAGGGGGAUAACAGGGAGAAAUUCUUGCUAAUACCCCAUAGGUAUGUCUGACGCAUGUUGGACAUAUUAAAGCUUUGGCGGUAUAAGAUGGGUCCGCGUCUGAUUAGCUAGUUGGUGGGGUAAAGGCCCACCAAGGCGACGAUCAGUAGCCGGCUUGAGAGAGUGGACGGCCACAUUGGGACUGAGACACGGCCCAAACUCCUACGGGAGGCAGCAGUGGGGAAUAUUGCACAAUGGGGGAAACCCUGAUGCAGCGACGCCGCGUGAAGGAAGAAGGUCUUCGGAUCGUAAACUUCUAUCAGCAGGGAAGAAGGAAGUGACAGUACCUGAGUAAGAAGCCCCGGCUAACUACGUGCCAGCAGCCGCGGUAAUACGUAGGGGGCGAGCGUUAUCCGGAAUUACUGGGUGUAAAGGGUGCGUAGGCGGUAUGGCAAGUCAGUUGUGAAACCCCCUGGCUCAACCAGGGGCUUGCAAUUGAAACUGUCAUACUAGAGUGCAGGAGAGGAAAGCGGAAUUCCUAGUGUAGCGGUGAAAUGCGUAGAUAUUAGGAAGAACACCAGUGGCGAAGGCGGCUUUCUGGACUGUAACAGACGCUGAGGCACGAAAGCGUGGGGAGCGAACGGGAUUAGAUACCCCGGUAGUCCCAGCCGUAAACGAUGGAUGCUAGGUGUAGGAGGUAUCGACCCCUCCUGUGCCGCAGUUAACGCAUUAAGCAUCCCGCCUGGGGAGUACGGUCGCAAGGCUGAAACUCAAAUGAAUUGACGG